GCCUGGCUAGCUCAGUAGGAAGAGCAUGGGACUCUUGAUUCCAGAGUGGUGAGUUUGGGCCCCAUGUUGGGUG
This 73-nucleotide transfer RNA is filed under the name Canis lupus familiaris (dog). It matches the Rfam family "tRNA". Rfam says of the family: Transfer RNA (tRNA) molecules are approximately 80 nucleotides in length. Their secondary structure includes four short double-helical elements and three loops (D, anti-codon, and T loops). The record is from Rfam by way of RNAcentral. Lineage: Eukaryota; Metazoa; Chordata; Mammalia; Carnivora; Canidae. RNAcentral also lists the same sequence under 2 other names.